Molecule: ribosomal RNA, 118 nt
Filed under: Hucho hucho (huchen)
Lineage: Eukaryota; Metazoa; Chordata; Actinopteri; Salmoniformes; Salmonidae
Source: RNAcentral
GCUUACGGCCAUACCAGCCUGAAAGUGCCCGAUCUCGUCAGAUCUCGGAAGCUAAGCAGGGUCGGCCCUGGUUGUACUUGGAUGGGAGACUUCCUAGGAAUACCAGGUGCUGUAAGCA